CUCGUUCGCUCUCUGCUUCCUGGAUUCCAUGAGGUGAGCAGCUUUCUUCUGCCCAGGACCUUCCACCAUGCAGUUCUACCUUGGAGCCGGCUGACUGUGAACUGAAACCUCUACGAACUGUGAGCCAAUUAAGCUUUUUCUCCUUUAAAUUGUGGUUGUCAGGCCCGGCCCACAGUGCCAGCACCGGCUCUGAACUCCCCGCCCCCUCCACGGAGUUUCCCAAAAGUCAGCGCUGCAGGCCCGGCCAAGCUAAAAUGGCGACUCCCACGUGUAGCCUCAUAGCCCCGAGCGAGACAAGCAAGUAUCAGAAAGUUGGCCAGGGAUUUAGCUCAGUGGUUCCACCGCCUGCCUCGCAAGUGCAGGGUCCCUAAUUCAAUCCCCGUGAAGCCAGUAAGCAACAUGUAAGGUGUCAGAAAUGCUUGGAAUUUGGACAUUGGACUUAUGAAUGCACUGGAAAAAGAAAAUACCUACAUAGGCCAUCAAGAACAGCAGAACUAAAGAAAGCUUUAAAAGAAAAAGAAAACAGGUUAUUAUUACAGGAAACAUCGGAGAAACUAAUGUAGAAAGAAAGACCAAGAAACAAAGGUCCAAGAGUGUAACUAGUUCCAGUAGCGAUAGCAGUGACAGUUCAGUCAGUGACUCUUCAUCAGGGAGUGAAGACACAUCUACCUCCUCCUCCGAAGACAGUGACUCUGAUGAGAGCUCCUCCAGCUCGUCAUCCUCAGCCUCCUCCACAACCUCCUCCUCCUCUUCGGGCUCCAGCAACAGCAGCAGCCGCCGCCGCCCCUCCCCCUCCCCCUCCUUGGAGAGCAGCUCUGAGGAUGAGCCACCGAAAAAGAAGAAAUAGAAUUUCUCAUCCAUUUUGGACCAGUGAACCGAAGAUACCAACGUGAUUCUCGGAAGAGAAUUUAGACAAUAUUAAAGCCAAAUAGAUUAACUGUUCAAAAUUUCUAGAGUUCAAAAGUUUCUAAGUGUUUUACAUUGUAAGAAUAUAAAGAUAAUAAUGAGUUAUAUAUACAAAGAGUUUUAUUUUGGAGGUGAAUCUUGUUUUUUCUUUUUUUUAAUCUUUAAAAUGCAUCUCUAGAAUUUAAAACUAAAAUCUAGCAAAUCGCCAGGCAUGAUGGUGCAUGCCUAUAAUCCCAGCACUCGGGAGGCUGAGGCAGGAGGAUCGCCGUGAGUUCGAGGCCAGCCUGGGCUACAUAGAGAAGGAACUGGAAGGCUUUGACCCUAGAAGGCUUUGCCUGAGAGAUAAAGAAGCAUUCGUCUGAUCCAUGAUGACUUCAGUGAGCUGACUUCCCCGGUCUUACUAAACUAGAAACAAUUCUCUGAAGAACUGGAAACAGCCCCAUAUCCUUCAGUGAGUGAAUGCUGAAACAAACUGUGGGACUAUACAAUAUACUCAGAAGCAAAGAGCUAUUCCCCUUCUAGGUACAGCAUCUUCCCAGGAGAGAACAUCAUUACUACAUUGAUGUAUACAUACCUAUGUUUAUAGCAGCACAAUUCAUAACAGCUAAAUCUUGGAAGGAGUCUAUAUGUCCAUCAACAGAUGAACGGAUAAGGAAAAUGUGGACUUACACACUAGGUAGAACUACUCUGCCAUAAAGAAGGAUAAAUGAUGCACCUUGAGACCAUAAUGUUAAGUAAAAUAAAUCAGACACACAAGCUUAAAUAACACAUGGCUUCUCUUAUAUGAGAAAUCAAAAUUAUAAAUAAAGGGCAAAAUAAAAUAUAGAUAAUAGGAAGUAGGAAGAUAGAUUUUG
Molecule: long non-coding RNA, 1760 nt
Organism: Heterocephalus glaber (naked mole-rat)
Lineage: Eukaryota; Metazoa; Chordata; Mammalia; Rodentia; Bathyergidae
Source: Ensembl